AGCUCUGCGCAGUGGCAGUAUUGCAGCCAAUGAGGUUUAUCCGAGGCAUGAUUAUUCCUAACUGAAAACUUUUCCCAAUACCCCGCCAUGACGACUUACAAUAUAGUUGGCAUUGUCAAUUUUUAAGUCUCUACAGAGA
Molecule: small nuclear RNA, 139 nt
Organism: Sapajus apella (tufted capuchin)
Lineage: Eukaryota; Metazoa; Chordata; Mammalia; Primates; Cebidae
Product: U4 spliceosomal RNA
Exons: 1
Source: RefSeq, a predicted model, not a curated record